Molecule: ribosomal RNA, 467 nt
Filed under: uncultured bacterium
Lineage: Bacteria
Description: partial 16S ribosomal RNA
Rfam family: Bacterial small subunit ribosomal RNA
Source: RNAcentral
ACGAACGCUGGCGGCGUGCUUAACACAUGCAAGUCGAACGGAAAGGCCCUGCUUUUGUGGGGUGCUCGAGUGGCGAACGGGUGAGUAACACGUGUGUAACCUGCCCUUGACUUUGGGAUAACUUCAGGAAACUGGGGCUAAUACCGGAUAGGAGCUCCUGCUGCAUGGUGGGGGUUGGAAAGUUUCGGCGGUUGGGGAUGGACUCGCGGCUUAUCAGCUUGUUGGUGGGGUAGUGGCUUACCAAGGCUUUGACGGGUAGCCGGCCUCAGAGGGUGACCGGCCACAUUGGGACUGAGAUACGGCCCAGACUCCUACGGGAGGCAGCAGUGGGGAAUAUUGCACAAUGGGCGGAAGCCUGAUGCAGCAACGCCGCGUGCGGGAUGACGGCCUUCGGGUUGUAAACCGCUUUCGCCUGUGACGAAGCGUGAGUGACGGUAAUGGGUAAAGAAGCACCGGCUAACUACGUG